RNAcentral lists this ribosomal RNA (253 nucleotides) under uncultured bacterium. Its description in RNAcentral is "partial 16S ribosomal RNA". It matches the Rfam family "Bacterial small subunit ribosomal RNA", at positions 524 to 776 of the family's 1533-position model. The record is from RNAcentral.
GACGAACUGUCCUAACGUUGUUCGGAAUCACUGGGCUUAAAGGGUGCGUAGGCGGCUAUUUAAGUCAGUGGUGAAAUCCUGCAGCUCAACUGUAGAAUUGCCAUUGAUACUGGAUAGCUUGAGUACAGACGAGGUAGGCGGAAUUUAUGGUGUAGCGGUGAAAUGCAUAGAUACCAUAAAGAACCCCUAUUGCGAAGGCAGCUUACUAGGCUGUAACUGACGCUGAGGCACGAAAGCGUGGGGAGCAAACAGG